Molecule: ribosomal RNA, 993 nt
Filed under: Musa schizocarpa
Lineage: Eukaryota; Viridiplantae; Streptophyta; Magnoliopsida; Zingiberales; Musaceae
Description: SSU rRNA
Rfam family: Eukaryotic small subunit ribosomal RNA
Source: RNAcentral
ACUUGGUUGAUCCUGCCAAUAGUCAUAUGCUUGUCUCAAAGAUUAAGCCAUGUAUGUGUUAGUAUGAACUAUUACAGACUGUGAAACUGCAAAUGGCUCAUUAAAUCAGUUAUAGUUUGUUUGAUGGUACGUGCUACUCGGAUAACCAUAGUAAUUCUAGAGCUAAUACGUGCAAAAAACCCUGACAUCCGAAAGGGAUGCAUUUAUUAGAUAAAAGGCUGAUGCGGGCUUUGCUCGUUGCUCUGAUGAUUCAUGAUAACUCGACGGAUCGCACGGCCCUCGUGCCGGUGACGCAUCAUUCAAAUUUCUGCCCUAUCAAUAUUCGACUGUAGGAUAGGGGCCUACCAAGGUGGUGACGGGUGAUGGAGAAUUAGGGUUCGAUUCUGAAUAGGGAGCCUGAGAAACGACUACCACAUCCAAGGAAGGCAGUAGGUGCGCCUUUCUUGAUUCUAUGGGUGGUGGUGCAUGGUCGUUCUUAGUUGGUGGAGCGAUUUGUCUGGUUAAUUCCGAUAACGAACGAGACCUCAGCCUGCUAACUAGCUACGCGGAGGCAUCCCUCCGCGGCCAGCUUUGCUUCUUAGAGGGACUAUGGCGGUUUAGGCCGCGAAAGUUUGAGGCAAUAACAGGUCUAUGAUGCCCUUAGAUGUUCUAGGUUGCACGCGUGCUACACUGAUGUAUUCAACGAGUUUAUAGCCUUGGCCAACAGGCCCAGGUAAUCUUUGAAAAUUUCAUCAUGAUGGGGAUAAAUCAUUGCAAUUGUUGGUUUUCAAUGAGGAAUUCCUAGUAGCGUGAGUCAUCAGCUUGCGUUGACUACGUCCCUGCCCAUUGUACACACCGCCUGUCGCUCCUACCGAUUGAAUGGUCCGGUGAAGUGUUCGGAUCGAGGCAACGGGGGUAGUUCGUCGCCCGCGACAUCGUGAGAAGUUCACUGAACCUUAUCAUUUAAAGGAAGGAGAAGUUGUAACAAGGUUUAUGUAGGUGAACCUAUGGAAG